UACCAGCACCCCGAGUGGUCGGGACGAUUAUUGGGCCUAAAGCAUCCGUAGCCGGUUCUACAAGUCUUCCGUUAAAUCCACCUGCUUAACAGAUGGGCUGCGGAGGAUACUAUGGAGCUAGGAGGCGGGAGAGGCAAGCGGUACUUAGUGGGUAGGGGUAAAAUCCGUUGAUCCAUUGAAGACCACCAGUGGCGAAGGGGGCUUGCCAGAACGCACUCGACGGUGAGGGAUGAAAGCUGGGGGAGCAAACCGG
This 253-nucleotide ribosomal RNA is filed under the name uncultured bacterium. Its description in RNAcentral is "partial 16S ribosomal RNA". It matches the Rfam family "Archaeal small subunit ribosomal RNA", at positions 474 to 727 of the family's 1478-position model. The record is from RNAcentral.